Molecule: ribosomal RNA, 480 nt
Filed under: uncultured bacterium
Lineage: Bacteria
Description: partial 16S ribosomal RNA
Rfam family: Bacterial small subunit ribosomal RNA
Source: RNAcentral
GACGAACGCUGGCGGCGUGCUUAACACAUGCAAGUCGAACGAUGAAGAAAAGAAUCGAAGCUUCGGCAGAAAUUCAUUUCGGAUUAGUGGCAGACGGGUGAGUAACGCGUGAGCAACCUACCUCUUACAAAGGGAUAGCCUCGGGAAACCGGGAUUAAUACCAUAUAACAUUGCGACGAAGCAUUUCGAUGCAAUCAAAGCUACGGCGGUAAGAGAUGGGCUCGCGUCCCAUUAACCGGAUGGUGAGGUAACGGCUCACCAUAGUGACGAUGGGUAACCGGGCGGGGAGGGGGAACGGUCACACUGGAACUGAGACACGGUCCAGACUCCGACGGGAGGGAGGAGUGGGGAAUAUUGCACAAGGGAGGGAACUCUGAUGCAGCGACGCCGCGUGAGUGAUGAAGGAAUUCGUUUCGUAAAACUCUGUUCUAUGGGAAGAAAAGGACUGUACCAGAGGAGAAAGCUCCGGCUAAAUACGUG